GUGAAUCAUCGAAUUUUUGAACGCAAAUUGCACUCUCUGGCAUGCCGGUGAGUAUUCGUGUGUGAGGGUCAGAAUAUAUAAAAAUCUAGGUGUUGCUGGUGUGUGUCCCAGCGGAAUUGGGUUAUCUUUGACCUUUUAAAAAGUUUAAGUGACCUAAAAUUGAUACCUUGUGCAUCUCAGACGUACAUAAGAAUAUUUUUUGAUCAGUCUGUAGUUGCCAACUUUUUAUUAGGUAUAAC
RNAcentral lists this unclassified non-coding RNA (239 nucleotides) under Glomeraceae sp. RNAcentral describes it as "partial internal transcribed spacer 2". The stretch from base 1 to 71 matches the Rfam family "5.8S ribosomal RNA", at positions 84 to 154 of the family's 154-position model. Lineage: Eukaryota; Fungi; Glomeromycota; Glomeromycetes; Glomerales; Glomeraceae. The record is from RNAcentral.